GGAGCUGGAGCUGGAGCUGCGAAUUCGGAGUCCCGGUUCCCUGUGCCACCUGGCGAGCUCAGCAAACUAAAAGUCUCUUUGUCUUCAUCGUUUCCGGCACUGAUGUGAGCACAUCAUAAGCACAAGACCUGGACACCUUUACAAUCAGAGGGCCUAGGACUGGAGCUCUGGAUCUGACCGGAGCAAAGAGGAAGCACGCAAAUCCGGACAUGACGACGAGGAGGCAGUAGAGACCCAUCCUCAACUACCCCCUGAGUGCCGAUCCCACCUGUGAAAGGGGAGGAGCAGAUCUGGGGAAGGGAUAUGCCCAGAGGAAAUCAACAAGACCAAAGAGACGUCAGAGUCCUGAUGGCCAAAAUCAGACACCAGCUUUCCUGAGAAGGCAGAAGAGAGAGCCCCAUAGAAGCAGUGGGGGCUCAGAAGGUUCAGUGGGUUCACAGGGGAGCAGAGGCUCCUGAGGGCUUACUCAGACAGGAAGCAGCCCCCCAAAACAUACUUCCCCUUCUCCUCCCACAGAAACAGAACAGAUAAAGUUCAGAAUUCUAGGCCCAAAAGGGUGCAACACCCUUCAACCAGUUUCAGUGAAGAGCUUGCUGGCCUGGGAAGUAAAGAAGGGGUUUCCAAAUACAGCAGUUUAUAAAACAGUCCUGGUGAGCUAUGAAGUGAAAGAGGGGGAGUCACAGAGCUGCUCCCAGUUCACCUGCUUGUGCUAAGAAACAAUAAAAUACAAAUUGCUUCCCCACCCCAACCCUCAGUACAAAGCAAACUUCACACCAGAGCCACCAUCAGUGACAGGCCCAGUGGCGGUGGAUGAGGAAGAGAAUACAAA
This 829-nucleotide long non-coding RNA is filed under the name Homo sapiens (human). RNAcentral's name for it is "non-protein coding PXN-AS1:20". The record is from RNAcentral. Lineage: Eukaryota; Metazoa; Chordata; Mammalia; Primates; Hominidae.